This 492-nucleotide ribosomal RNA is filed under the name uncultured bacterium. RNAcentral's name for it is "partial 16S ribosomal RNA". It matches the Rfam family "Bacterial small subunit ribosomal RNA", at positions 29 to 507 of the family's 1533-position model. The record is from RNAcentral.
AGUGAACGCUGGCGGUAGGCCUAACACAUGCGAGUCGAACGGCAGCACAGUAAGAGCUUGCUCUUACGGGUGGCGAGUGGCGGACGGGUGAGGAAUACAUUGGAAUCUACUUUUUCGUGGGGGAUAACGUAGGGAAACUUACGCUAAUACCGCAUACGACCUACGGGUGAAAGCAGGGGAUCUUCGGACCUUGCGCGAUUGAAUGAGCCGAUGUCGGAUUAGCUAGUUGGCGGGGUAAAGGCCCACCAAGGCGACGAUCCGUAGCUGGUCUGAGAGGAUGAUCAGCCACACUGGAACUGAGACACGGUCCAGACUCCUACGGGAGGCAGCAGUGGGGAAUAUUGGACAAUGGGCGCAAGCCUGAUCCAGCCAUACCGCGUGGGUGAAGAAGGCCUUCGGGUUGUAAAGCCCUUUUGUUGGGAAAGAAAAGCAGCAGGUUAAUACCCCGCUGUUCUGACGGUACCCAAAGAAUAAGCACCGGCUAACUUCGUG